GGCAAAGCUUUUUAUUUUUUUUUUGUUUUUUCGAUCUGAGUUUUUUUGUGAGACUUCUUGACACUGUUUCAAACCCUAUUUUAAAGUUUGGGAGAAGUUUGAGUUUUUUUGCUAUAUUUGACUGAUUUAAUUUGUUUCUUUGUGUUUUUCGGAUAAUUCAAACUUGAACUACACGUACAUGAAAUAUCGCAACACAGUGUUUGAAAAAAUGAUAUUCAUGGUAUUAUGUAUAUUCUGAGUCUGUAUCUAGGACCUCACACGAAAUCUCGACCAGCUCGCUGAGGUAACACAUCGAGUUACAUGCACGAAAAGUGUAUUAAAAUUAUAUAAAAUCCAAAGGAAGUCCGAAAAUCGUAAAACUUGACGGGGCGUCGUGUUAUCGCAUGUGGAACCUAUGGUUAAAAUUUGAGAAGAUUUGAAGCAAGUUGCAGCGUCGAAUGUCUAAAAUCCAGACAUCUCCACAUGGUCCGUGGUCAGUUGGCGCUCCUCCGCCUCAGACACACGGGUGGUCGCCGUGGUCAAGUGGCGCGCCUCAGCACCCAGCAGGUUGGCCGCACCAGGGGUGGCCAGGUGAGGGCUCUUCCUAGGGACACGGGGACGCCGGGUCGCAGCCGGACCAGUGAUAUGGACAUGUUAUGCUUGUGAUGGAUAUGUUAGGCGGAUUUGAUCACUUUGUAUAUGCGGAUUUGUGACAGGAUGAAUACCAACUAUUCUGUAUGUGGAUUUGUGACCAUUGAUGGAUGCAUGUGUCGAUUUGUGAUUAUAUAUGUUAUGCAGGUUCUAUUACAUAUGUUAUGUAUGUUGUCUAUUGUGAAUUGAGUGAAAAAACAGCAAAAACUG
This 840-nucleotide long non-coding RNA is filed under the name Sorghum bicolor (sorghum). Its description in RNAcentral is "long non-coding RNA (SBIC_LNC008127)". Lineage: Eukaryota; Viridiplantae; Streptophyta; Magnoliopsida; Poales; Poaceae. The record is from RNAcentral.